AUGUUGUUGGUGGUUUAUUCUGUAUUUGUUUGUUAAUAGAAGUAGUAAGUUCAAACUCAAAUCUUUUGGUAGCUUUGUUGAUGACAUCGUGAGUUUGUCAUCUCACCUAAACUCACGACCUGACCAAUAGCAUCUGUAAAAAUAUGAAAUGGUGUUAGUUUGCUAUUUUUUUUGCUUUAAACAUUAUAUACAUAAAUAGGAGGAAUGGAAAAUACCAAUCAAAAUGUUUUCAUUCAAUUAACAUUCAGAAUGUCUGGAAAGUUAGCAAAAUCAAAGUAAAACUCCUCAGAAAUUGAAGGAAUACGACUUAUAACAGUCGUAUUCAUGAGGGACAUCUUGAAUGGAAGUCUGGUUGCCCGGUACUUUCCAAUAGAUUUUGCAACUGUAAAAUUUUCCACAGUUCUCCACUCUCCAGUUGUGAUGAGCCUUUGAAACUUGUUGACUUGUUGUUUCUUGACAGUCGCAUGAAUCAAGGUACCUUGUAUUUAGCAAAGAAAGAGUAUGAACACAUAAUAAUUACAGAAGAAAAUAUCUACUAUUAGUAAAAAGAUUCUUACACAUGUAUCAGCAAGAAUCAUCUCGACAGUUUCUCCGGAGUAUUGGAUGUAUUGAGUCCACGAAUGGACGAUUUUCACUUGAAUCUUCCAUUGAGUUUUGAAAGAUUUAAUUGCGUUAAGUUCGGUGAUGAGAUGAGCCAUUGUUUUAGAGGUAUAGAGGUGGUUUGGUAGCUUAUUGAGUAUUGAGAAUAUCGUUGAAGAUCUAUAUAUAUAAGAGAUAGAACGUCUAGGGUUAGUCCUAUUAGAUAGGAAUAAUAUCUUUGCAAAUCAAUCAUUUGAAUAGAUAUUUUAGGUAUAUUCUUGAUUGAAGAUGUUUUGAAUAUAUUUUUUUUGAUUUAGUUUAGAUUUUUUGGUAACUAUAGAUGACUUAAAUUUGUUAUGACAUUGAUUUGAAUUCGAAAUUAAAGAGAUAUGAUUGUUUAGGUAUUAUCUUGACUUAUUUGUUAUUGUAAUUAUGUUUAGAUUAUCAAAUGGCAACUGUGAGGAUCAAUACAAAUCGUGACGCUCAAUCCAAAUCAACCGUGAGGAUCAGUUUGAGGAAAAUCAACCGUGAGGAUCACUUUUAGGAAUGGCCGGGUCAAGUGUUACGAUCCGCAUGUUUAUCCGAAAGCUAGCCCAUCAGGCUCUAAAAAUAACCGAUCCAAUAGCCCAUGAUCCAUGGAUCUUUCUCUACCAAAUUAUUAUUUUAGCCUUCCACGUGUUUUAAAUUUUAGUCUUAGAUUGAAAAAAUUCUAAUGGCAUUCAUUGUAAUUUUUUAUACUUUAUAAGGUUAUUUAAAUUAGAAUGAUUCCCAAUUAAUAGUAUAGAUUGGUAGAGAACAAUUUUGGUAUUAGUUACUCUAAUGAUCAAUGCAGUGAAGGUGUUCAAUGAAAUGCUUAAGAGAGACUUUAGGGAAAUUUACUUUCACCUGAAGUGUGUUAGAUAUAAGGGUUUAGUGCUUUUUCAUCAUGAUCCCCAAAGAACAGAAAUCACAAAGAAUCUAAAGCUGUUGAAUCAAGGAUACACUGUGACGUCUUUUGAUAAGCAUGUUGCCCUUUCCUCUCUCAAAGGCUCUCUCUUCCCGCUGAAACGGUAACCUAUAAUCCCUUUGGAUGCUUAAGCAUUAUUAGUAGGCUAAGAAUGAGUAAGGUGUCUGAAUGUUUUUACUCUCCAUUUUCGAAUGAUAAAUUUGUUACGGUGUCUAUUAUAUGCUCGGGGAAUCUUGAUGAGAAUUUGGUUACAUUCAGGUCAAGCUACAUUUUUGUACAAGGUUUUUGGUGCCCCUCUUGAAAAUUUAUUCUUCGAAGUUAACAAGCUAAAUAUAUGACGUGUUGUGUUUACUCUCAAAUGAUAAAUUUGUUACAGUGUAUGUAUAUGCUCGUGGAAUCCUGAUGAAAAAUUGGUUACAUUCACAGUUCAAGUUACAUUUUAUUUACAAACACUAGGUUUCAGGCUAUGUCUUCUGAUUACAAUUCUCUAAUAGUUUCAAUGGUGCAAGGUUUUGUAUGCCCCUCUUGAAAAUUUAGCCUCUGAAGUUAACAAGCUGUAUAUGUGACAUGUUUGCAGAGUUCAAGCAUAUAUCAGUGUGAAUGAGCUGGAGUCAACGGUGGUUGUGAUAAUAGUUCAAGCAUCUAAUUUAAUACUCUGCCCUAUCAAAUAUCUUUGAUUAAUCAAAACGAAUAAUUAGAGGUGGCAAUAGAUUAUAAAUUCAUAAUAUAUAUUAUUGUUGAGAACCCCUCCGUCAAUAGAUUGGUAGCUACAUAGUUGACUUGGAUUAAACUUUUAGCUGAUUUUAGAUCUAUUUUUCCUUUGGCGUUCUUGUAUUGGUUCAUCGUAUGUGAUUGACGACGAGUAGUUGUUAUGGCUGAAGCAUUUGUGUCGUUUGGAGUUGAGAAGCUUUGGGAUCUCCUGAGUCGAGAAUCUGAGCGAUUGCAGGGUAUUGAUGAGCAAGUUGAUGGACUAAAGCGUCAGCUGGGAAGGUUACAGUCGUUGUUGAAAGAUGCAGAUGCCAAGAAACAUGGAAGUGAAAGGGUGAGAAACUUCUUGGAAGAUGUCACAGACCUUGUUUAUGAUGCUGAGGAUAUACUUGAAUCCUAUGUUCUGAACAAAAGUAGAGGAAAAGAAAAAGGGAUCAAGAAGCAUGUGAGAAGACUUGCUUGCUUCUUAACGGAUCGCCGCAAAGUUGCUUCAGAUAUCGAAGGAAUCACUAAGAGGAUCUCUGAGGUGAUUGGGGAUAUGCAGAGUUUAGGGAUACAACAGGUCAUUGAUGGUGGUCGUUCGAUGUCUCUUCAGGACAGACAAAGGGAGCAGAGGGAGAUCCGACAAACCUACGCUAAGAGUCCUGAACACGAUCUUGUUGGGGUGGAGCAGAGUGUUGAAGAAUUGGUUGGUCAUUUGGUGGAGAAUGAUAAACAUCAAGUGGUUUCUAUAUCUGGGAUGGGCGGUAUUGGUAAAACGACUUUGGCCAGACAAGUUUUUCAUCAUGACAUUGUCCGACGUCAUUUUGAUGGAUUCGCAUGGGUCUGUGUUUCGCAACAGUUUACGCAGAAAGAUGUUUGGCAGAGGAUCUUGCAAGAACUUCAGCCACACGAUGGUGAAAUUUUGCAGAUGGACGAAUAUGCACUUCAGCGUAAACUCUUUCAGUUGUUGGAAACCGGUAGAUAUUUGGUUGUCCUCGACGAUGUAUGGAAAAAAGAAGACUGGGAUCGAAUAAAAGCAGUGUUUCCGCAGCAAAGAGGUGAGCUCUUAUGGUACAUAUAUGAAGCACUUAGUCUUUUUAGUUCAUAUAAGUGAUUGUUAAAAGAAAUAUAUAGAAUAAAUGCAUUUUUAUUCCUUAACAUGAGAACACAAAUAUAUUCCAGGUUGGAAGAUGCUGCUUACUUCUCGGAAUGAAGGUGUUGGGAUACAUGCUGAUCCAACAUGUUUUACUUUUAAAGCAAAAAUCCUGAAUCCUGAUGAAAGUUGGAAGCUCUUUGAGAGAAUAGUAUUCGCUAGGAGAGAUGAAACUGGUACAUAUCUUAUUAUAUAAUGUUUAGUUUCACUAACUUUAUUUCCCUUAACUAAAUAAGAUAAACAAAUUUUAAGAAAAACAUAUUUGCACAUACUAAUUAUCAUGUGUAUAUUUAAACUAUUCCUUAAACUUUUCUUUUCCUUAACCAAAAAGCAAAAUUAAAAAAAAAAUAUAUAUAUAUAUAUAUAUAUAUAUAUAUAUAUAUACAUAUUGGUAAUUUUUCAAACAAAUUUCAACUUUUUUUCCCUUAACGAAUGAGAAAAACUAACUAAAAAACGUAUUUACGUAUUUUGACAUGUAUCAAAAAAAGUAAUUACUAAUCUUAAUUUUUUUUUUUUUCUUUCGAUUUUUUAGAAAAAUCGAAUAUCUACUCUUUAUGAUUAACUAGAUAUGGACCCGUGCGUUGCACGGGUUACCAGUCGAGAUUAUCAUUCUUAAUAUUUUUAUUUUAGUUUUGUAAGCUUAACUAAAAUUCUAUAAACAUAUAUAUUUUAAAAAAUGCAGCAUAAUUAUUUCUAAAUAUAGAUUUAUUAGCAUAAUUUGCAAUAUAAAACAUUCUUUAUAGUUAUGUUAUACUAUUUAUUAAAUCAUAUAAUAUAAAUAUUGGCCUAUUUAUAAAAUUAUAUAAUUUUUUGCUUAUUAUAAGUUAUAAAGUCAUAAAUGUUCAUAUGUUGUAUUAUUGAAUUUAAUAAGUUAUUUAUAUCCAUCAGAAGAGUGUGUUACAUAAACAUAUAGUUACGUAAACAUAUAGUCUGAGUUACGUAAAUAUAGAUUUUUUUAAAAAAAACAUUUGACGUCAUAAUAAAAUUGUGACAAUAAAAAAAAUAUAUAUAUAUAUAUAUAUAUAUAUAUAUAUAUAUAUAUAUAUAUAUAUAUAUAUAUAUGAAACCGUCUAUAUCCAUGUCAUAUAAAUUUACUUUAUAAAUAUGAAAUAUCCUCAACAGAAAAAAAAACAAUCUUAUAAGGAAUUACAAAAUACACACUAAAUAAUUUAAGACUAAAAAAAAAAAAAAAAAACAACAUCAGGCUAAACAUUAUCUAUUUGCAACAUGACUUUUAUCAUUUUAGGCCCAUAUUACCAAUUUCUUUGUUUUUUCUUCUUUCUAAUUCUCAAAAAUCUAUAUAUCUUUCAUUAGAUUUUUCUUAUUUUUGGUCGAACUCCUCUUUCUUUAUCUUUCUCUCCCUCUCAUCGGAUUUCUUCACCACAAUAGUUUUAUUUAUUUAUUUAUUCUCUAUCUCCAUUUCUCGUAUUCGUCGGACAUCACUAUCGAGUCUCACUACUCUGACCCACUACCACAACUGAAUCUCACUACUAUCACAAUCACCACCACCAUCAAUACCGAAUCUUGCUAAUUCUGACUCACCACUUUUAUCAAUAUUUACCGCCACCACCACCACCACCAUCAACACCAACACCACCGUUAUCGCCUCUUAUCCUCUUUCCCCAACUUCUCUUAUUACUCCACCUUCUUUAUCUCCUCCGACAUUAGACCAAACCUCUCCGACAAUAACUCUAGUCUAUGUCUAUCGUCGUUCAUAAUUAUUAAUUUGCCUUAAUUGUCAUAUAUUCAUUAGAUCUGAAUAUCACAUGCUAUUUUUAGAAAAACAUCGUGAUUGAAAGUAUUUUUUUAUAAUUGAUAUUAUAUAACAUCGUUAAGAAAUUAGUUUGCUUGAUGAGAAAAUAUGAGAUAAUCUAUUUGUUUAUAUAAAUGUGACUAUUUACUAUCUUUUUCUUAUAGGAUUAAUAACUGAUUGUAUAAUUUUCUUAAUUUUUUUCUAAUUUUAAAUCUUUUUCUUGUUAAGUUAGUAACUUAUAAAUAAAACGUUUAGCAUAAUUUUAUAAUUUCGAUUUUUAUGGAUAUAUACAUAUAAUUUCUUUAUAUAUAUGUAUAGGUUUCUUAUUAUAAUCUUUUUAUAUGUUUAAAACUGUUUAAAUUUAUCAUUUUUUAUAAUUAUUUUUUAAAAACAAAAUUUUUGUUUGCUAGAUGGAAAAAACUCUUAUGAAAAUAUAUGUACAAUUUCCUUAUAAUUAGCUUUUUACUUUUUUUUUAAAAGGAAAAUUUUAUUUGACACAUGUCAAAAUCUCAGAUCGAAAAAGUUCAUACGUGUCACGAUCUCUUGAGUUAUUAACUUUGAAAACCAUACUUUAGAUAAUAAGAUUCAUGGUUGGUUCAAUUAAAAUUUAACAUUAUAAAAUCUCAGAUCGAAAAAGUUCAUACGUGUCACGAUCUCUUGAGUUAUUAACUUUGAAAACCAUACUUUAUAUAAUAAGAUUCAUGGUUGGUUCAAUUAAAAUUUAACAAUUUAAAAUCAACUAAAUUUGUAAAAAAAAAAUGUAUUGAUUAAGGGUCCUAAUUAAUCUAGUUCAAAUGUAAAAUUAGUCCAAUAAUCUAAUAAAUUUUAUUUAGCAGCUCACAUCUUGAAAUGUAUUAGCUUGUGAUAUUGUGCAGAAGUAAGGCUUGGUGAAGAAAUGGAAGCCAUGGGAAAGGAAAUGGUCAAACAUUGUGGAGGACUACCAUUAGCUGUUAAAGUGUUGGGAGGCUUGUUAGUUAAUAAACAUACAGUUCAUGAGUGGAAAAGAGUUUCUGACAAUAUCGGAGAUCAAAUCGUAGGAAAAUUGUGCUUAGAUGACAACAGUCUCAAUUCGGUUAACCGAAUAUUGUCUCUGAGUUAUGAAGAUUUGCCAACGCAUUUAAAGCAUUGCUUCCUUUAUCUAGCCCAUUACCCCGAAGAUUACAAGAUAUAUAUGUGGAAUUUGUUCAAUUACUGGGCUGCAGAAGGAAUUUGUUAUGGAUCAACCAUCAGACAUAGUGGAGAAGACUACCUACAAGAGCUAGUGAGGAGAAAUUUGGUUAUUGCUGAAAAAAACAAUUUGAGUUGGAGAUUUGAAUAUUGUCAAAUGCAUGACAUGAUGAGAGAAGUAUGUUUAUCAAAAGCCAAAGAAGAGAACUUCCUACAAAUUAUCAAAGUCCCUACUUCCACCUCUAGCAUCAAUGCUCAAUCUCCUAGUAGAUCUCGCAGACUCACCAUACGUAGUGGUAAAGCCUUUCAUAUACUGGGACACAAAAACAAUAAAAAAGUCAGAUCUCUUAUAGUUUUGGGACUCGAGGAAGACUUUUGGAUACAGUCAGCUUCAGUCUUCCAAAAUUUACCAUUUCUCAGGGUGUUGGAUCUUUCUGAGGUGAAAUUUAAAGGAGGGAAGUUACCUUCUAGUAUUGGAGGGCUCAUCCACUUGAGAUUCUUGAGCUUAUACGAUGCUGGGGUAUCUCAUCUACCUUCUUCUAUGCGGAAUUUAAAGCUUCUCCUCUAUUUAGACUUAAGUGUUGCUAUUGGGGAACCAGUUCAUGUGCCAAAUGUUUUGAAAGAGAUGCUAGAGUUGAGGAACCUUGUCCUACCUCAUAAGAUGCAUGAUAAAACCAAGUUGGAAUUGGGUGAUCUAGUGAACCUAGAGCACUUGUGGUUUUUCUCAACGCAACACAGUAGUGUGACAGACCUCCUCCGUAUGACCAAGCUCAGGUCUCUCUCUGUAUCUUUGAGCGAAAGGUGUACUUUUAAAACCCUAUCGUCAUCUCUCCGUGAAUUGCGAAACCUCGAGACGCUUCAUUUCUUUUCUACGAGCAAAACCAUUAUGGUUGAUUAUGUGGGAAAGUUCGAUCUGGAUUUUGUUCAUCUAAAAGAGUUAGGAUUGGCAGUACGUAUGUCAAAGAUUCCUGAUCAACAUCAAUUCCCUCCCCACCUUGAACACAUAUCUCUAUUUCUUUGCCGCAUUGAGGAGGAUCCAAUGCCGAUUCUAGAAAAGUUGCUUCAUUUGAAGUCGGUUAAAUUAGGAUCUGACGCUUUCGUUGGGAGGAAAAUGUUGUGCUCAAAAGGUGGAUUUCCUCAAUUACGUGCUCUAGAAAUAUAUGAAGAAUUAGAGUUGGAAGAGUGGAUAGUGGAAGAAGGGUCGAUGCCAUGUCUUCGUACUUUAAAUAUACUUGAUUGCAAAAAGUUGAAGGAACUUCCUGAUGGACUCAAGUACAUGACAUCCUUAAAGGAACUGAAGAUUAGAGGAAUGAAGAGGGAGUGGAAUGAGAAAUUGAUACCAGGUGGAGAAGAUUACUACAAAGUCCAACACAUUCCCGAUGUUCAAUUUAUCAACUGUGACGAUGAAUAAGGAAUAACCAGUAGCAGGUAAAAAUAAAAAUGGUAUAAUGUUCACUUUGUUCAUUUGUUGGUUUUGCAUCCUAUUUGGAUUCGUGUGAAAGUCAUUUGGACAGUCUCCACUAUUAUACAUUGUCUAACAUCUAUCAUCUCUGAAAUAGAUGCAGGAAAGAAAAAGAAGCUAGCUUUGAAAGAUUCAUCUGCUGAUCAACAGGUUUUCGCGAAGAAUCUCUGGAAUUGCUUAUGAAGAAUACAGAUUCUGAAGUACUACGGAUUACGUUGCCAGUCUUGGAGCAUCGUUAUGUUGUGGCUCAGAACUAUAUUAGAGAAAAUAAUGCUUUUAUUGAUGUUUGUUUUCGAUGUGGAUGUAUGGAACAUGCUUGAGAACUCUUUCACAAAAUGGAGAAACGAACCUUGGUUUUACUGUAAAAAGUAAAAACUGGAUAUUUUAUGUUAAUAAGAAUUGUGUUUUGUUUUCUCGUUUGUGAUUUAACACAAUUGCUUUUAUUUAACAUUUAGGCUUAAGUUUUGUUAGCUUUGCACCUCUUUUACUGUGUCUACGCAUAGGCAAGACAUGGUUGAACCACGACGAACAAAACUGAUGUACAAUAAACAGAAUAAUCUCAUUUCCAAAACUUCUGGCAAAACAUUAUAUUUUCUCAGGGGAACAUAAUACACAGACAAGAUUCCUUGGACUUUACGGGUUUGUAGCAAGUUUGUUGAAGGCGGCGUGAACUCUCUCCUCCGUGAACAGUCUAUGGUUUUCAUAGAAAUCCAAUAUCUCCAUUGCAAUAUUCUUCACCUACCAAUAUGUUCACAACAUACCGAUGAAUCAUUAAACAAGACCAAUAAGGCAAUAAUUCCUCAGAGAAUUAAAAGGUGGAUAACAGUGCAUAGACUUACAAUGUUCAUGUCGACAGAAAGCUCUUCAAACCAAGUCCUUAUGUCUUUCUCUUUGUGUACAGAAGCAAUGUAAAUGCAAGCAAGUGUGAUGAGAAACGGCGGAUGUAUAAGGAUGAGAUCCAUUCUGUAUGUGUCGUUGACAAGACCCCUAUCGUUUCCAAACAAAACUUAAAGCAUCAAGAGAGCAUUUACUUUUUUGCUUGCAUAUCAAAACCUGUUUAGCUCUAUUCCAAUUAAAGAUUUGUCAGGUGAUGGUAAUUGUUAUACAAUUGCCUUCUUGAUUACAACAACACUUCAUCCCCAAGAUUAAUAAAAGACAAAUUUUGGAUACUUACCAAGUUAAAUGGGUCAUACUUGUGUCAUUGAUUCCAGAAUCCUGCAAGAACCUGCAAGUAAAGCAAGAAUAGUAAUAAAACAAAAUGCAUAGAAUAAAUGCUAAAGGAUUUUGAUAUCAACACAUAAGAUCUUAAGCAGAUGGCUUACUCAGGAAGAGAUCGGUAUGGGUGGAAUACAACAAGAUAGAAGUUCAAAGCUUCCAAGACCUUCAUCUCCAUUUCCAGAAUAUCUUUGAUCUCAUAUCUAAACUUUUCAUCAGCAUCUACCGAGAGUGAAGGAUGCAAUCUCAUCAGAAACUCAGACAAAAAAACUCAAGAAAGUUUUGAAGCAGAAAACAAAAAAAGAAUUUACAAAGUUUUUUCAUGUAGAAGACAAGAAGUUUGGCAUGCACCACACUCUCUUCUGCUUUGCAAGCCAAAUACAAGCAGGUGGGAGCAACAAGCCGAGGCUCGUAUUCCGACAAACUCUUUCUGUCAAAACACACAACACUACCCAUAAGUCAAAUGACCGAGCCUCAAGCUACACAACGAUGAUCAAACAAUCAGAAGCUAGAACAAGCCAUACCUUGUGUAAACGCGACGCAUAUACGUUACUGCAGUUGCAAUAACUCUGAAUAAUAGAAGUGCUAAAUCAGUCAGCAUUGUUCAAAGGGUCGUUACACAUUUCAUAUCUCUUUUAAGAACUAACAACGAAAGACUUCACCUUUGCCUAAUCUUAAUGUUUUGUGCCAGUUUCGAUAUAUCUGAAACACGAACAACAAGGAAAACAAGCUUAAAUCCAAUCAAAACCUCAAGAUAAGGACAUGAUUCAUGACAUUAGAGAUAUUAAAUCCAAUCUGGAAAUUAACAAGGUAAUCAAAUCCAAUGAAAACAUACAAUUAGACAUAUGAAGCUUAAUGAGUCUGAAAUCUUCAACAGAGAUUCCUCUCUGAGCAUCAAGAGGAUGAACAACAUUAACCUCUUCUGGGUCCUUAAGCUCUUUGCUGUGAGAAUAAAACCCAGAAAACGAAAUCAAUCAGGAACAUAGAAAUUGCAUAUAAAAAGACGAUCUUUAAUCGUUGAUUGAAGCUUACUAGUGCGUCGAAGUCCAGAAAUUGGAAGCCAUAGCUUCUUUCUUUGAUCCUUCAACUUCAAAAAUACAAGAUUUUUAUUUUUAUGGUGUGGAUAAUGUAAAGCAUAAGAAGACCACCAAGGAUAAAUAAAAUAAAAAAGUAAACUUUUUUAAUUCAUUAUUAUUUACUAAAAACAGUUUUUAAAAGUCUUAUAUGAAAGUAAAUAAGUCAAUUUUAUAAACUUUUUUCAUCUUUUGUCAUCUUCAUCAAUAUGACCUUUGUUUUUUCACAUUUUUGCUUCUAGGAGAGGUUUAGGUUUAGAUUAGGGGAAACAAAACCCAUUUUGAUGAUCAAAUAACAAUAGUGUAUUUGUGUUUACUUUAAGAUUAAUUGGUUUGGUAGAAUUAACAACAGUGUUACAUGUUUGCCACAAAGCUAAGAUGGGCAAUUGUGAAAGUCUCUAAUCUUGUUUUUUCUGUGAGAUAAAUCUUGGAGAUGGAAGCGAUUCCCUCGGCUGCUACGGUUUCAAAGCCAAUUUGCUGAAGGCAGAAUUCACUUUUUCCUCUGUGAUUGUUCUGUAAUUCUCAUAGAAAUCCAGAAUCUCCAUGGCAAUGUUCUUUACCUGCAAACCAUUGACCCAUGUAGAGCUUUCACCGUCACUAAGAAUACCGAAAGGUCAUAGCUUUUUGCUUAACUUUUAGAAGAAUGACUGACCAAGUUCAUGUCCUCAUGAAGAUCUUCAAACCAGGCAGUGAUGUCUUUCUCUCUGUGGACACUUGCUAUGUAUAUGCAUGCUAGCGCUAUGCGAUACGGAGGGUGUACAAGAAUGAGGUCCAUCUUAUAAGUAUCGUUAACAAUUCCCCUGAAACACGAAAACAAAACUCGGUUUUCCUAUGCUUUUUACAAAGGUCAGAGAAUUUAGAUCUUAGUGUUGGAACUAGGAAAUGAGUUCUGAGCAAAGUUUCACAUGUAGAAAGACUUUACCAUGUAAUUUGGUUCAUAUUUACAUCGUUUAUUGCAGCAUCUUGCAAAAACCUGAGAAAACAAAAGAAGGAAGUCUUGAAAUGAGAGUUGAUUUUCUGACUACAAGGAUCAAGGCACACAAAACUCUCACCAAGGAAUAUAAAAUUGGUCUAAAAUUUUACAGGAUAUAAUGAAAAACAUCAAGAGCAUUGAAUGGGAAGACUGCAAGGUUUUACAUGUAUCAUCAUUUACACUUCUAAUCAUCUCCUCUGUUUGCAACCGCAGACAAUAAGGCAAACACUUCUGAAAAGCGGAUAAGAGAGAUGAGUGGACAUACUCAGAUAAUGACCGGUAAGGGUGAAACACAACCAGAUAAUAGUCUAGUGCUUCUAAGACCUUCAUCUCCAUUCCUAAUAUAUCUUUUAGUUCAUAUUUGUUGUACUCAUCAGGAUCUGCAAAGAAAUAAGAACCGUUGUCGAUAAGUCAAAAAACGCAUAUUGAAGGGAAGGUUCUCUUAUGAUUUAGCACAUUGAAAAAUCAAAACACAGUAGAAGAAGAUAUUACACAAUCUUUUGAUGUAAAAAACAAGAUUCCUGGCCUGCACAAUGCUUUCUUCAGCUUUAGAUGCCAGGUACAAGCACGUAAGAGCAACAAGACGAGGCUCAAACUCUACCAUACUCUUUCUGAGACAGUAUAAUAUCAAAAGGAAGAUAUUAGACGCAGUUAUGGUUUUUGUUAGCAGAGAUGCAACAUAUAGAGACAUUGGCAUGACAAGAAUUUAACUCAUUUCAUUCCUCACAUACACAAAGAUGCACUUUGAUGUAUAAGAUCAUAUCAAAAUUACAUUGCAUACCUGAUAUAAACCCGUCUCAUAUACGUAAUUGCGGUAGCCACAACCCUACAUAAGUAUUGAAAACAAGGCAAUGAUUCAUAUUAAAUUCUAGGUAACAACAGAUAUAGAGCUAAUUAUUUCCACAGAAGCAAAACAAAAUAAUGGAACAACUGCAAAAGUAGAAUCUCUGAUAUAGCAAAAAUUGGAUCCCCAAAGUGCAAAAAACCAACCUUUGCCUCACUUUAAUGUGUUGAGCCAAUUUCAUAAUAUCUGAAACAACAAUAAAGGCAAAAAUACAAAGAGACUUAAACUCAACAGCAAAACAAACACUUUCUUUGAUCAAUCUUUAAAAUAUUUUCAAAGUAGAGACAAAAUUUGCUAAAUUAAGUAGAAAAAAUUCGAAGAAUUGAGAAGAAAAAGAUUUUGUACGAUUAGACAUAUGGAACUUGAUGAGCUUAAAAUCCUCAAUUGAAAUUCCACGUUCUUUAUCAAGUUCAUGAACUACAUCGACUUCUUCUGGAUCCAAAAGCUGUUUACUGCUUCGUACAAACGCAAAAACCAAACAAAAAAUUUCGAGAAAUUGAAAUUAGAAGUUGAGUUGAAGGAGAAGAAGAAGUGAAUUUUGAUGGGUUAAGGUGAAAAGAACGUUUACUAGUGAGAUGAAUUCCAGAAAUUGGCAGCCAUUUUUUCCGAUAGACCGUCGAGUUUUUGGUAAGGAGGAGAAGAAGAAGCUUUUUGCUUUCAUAAUAAGUUCAACAUUUUUCUGUUAUCUGUCAAAUCUUUUGGUUGGUGGUCUCAUGAUCUAUCACAUCUCGUUGCUUUUAUCUGAAAUUAUAUUUAAGGCUCGGCCCAUUAUCGGCCCAAUAAGCAUAUCUGUUGUUAGUCGCUAGGCCCAAUAAGCAUAGCCUUCAUUUCCGAUUAAUCGCUAGACGUAUAUCGAACGUCCGACUAACGCCUACCGAUUUUUCGAACAAAGAUCGCAACAAACACAAUUACGCAAAGUAUAAAUCUUUCAAGGUUGCUCAAUGCUCACCGAAAAAUAGCUUUUGCAGCUCUGAUAUAACAUGUUUGUUGUUUUUUUGAAUAACAGAACAUCGAUAAAAUUUGAAAUUCGUUGAUAUAAAGAUGUCAAUAUUCAAGCAAGAAGAAAAACUUCAAAAGCUCCAAGUGUAUUCAUAAAUCCCAUAAAUAUCUAAGUAGUGAUUGAAUAUGUCAUUUCAACCGGGUAUAAACAGUUUCAAAAGGAUUAAAUUUGAGUUUCAUUUUUUCGCAUGAAAGCUACAAAAAUUCUAGCUUUAUACCAUCAGCCAUCCUAUCAACGAUUUUUUUUUUUUCCCACAAGUUUUCACAUCAUGUAUUGUUCCAAAGCUUGAUCAGUGAUUUUCAUCUAACAAUAAGUUUGGGUGUUCAUAAAAGAAUUUUCCUUUGCCUAAUACACAUGUUCAUUUGUUUUACUGAAAUCGAUCCACCAAAUAAAAGAAAAUGUGUGAAAUUUUACAAAAACAUUUCCCUUAAUUUAUCUAGGUGGUCAUGACUCAUUGGAUUGGAUUUGGAGAAAACAAAAUUCAAUUACUUUUUCUUGCAAAUACCAGGUUAACAUAAUUGUCCGUCUUCACAAACAAACCCAACUAAUCCUAGGAAGAGCUGACUCAACAAAAAUGUAACCCAACAUAUUAAAUCCUAAACAGAAAAACCAAAUCUUUCCUACCAAAACUUUGUUUAUAAUGAGAAUUAAACUUAGACACAGAAUAAUCCAUACUCCUUUAUCAAUUUUUUUUUCAAACAUAUUAUAUUCAUAUUAAUAUUCGAGAACUGACCAUACAUGUUUCUCUCGUUCAAUAUUUGGUACAAGCCAAAUAAGUUGACUACAAUCUAAAAACGCAUGAAAAAACGCAUGAGGAAGGAACAAACCAAAUAGGUUGACUACAAUCUAAAAACGCAUGAAAACGCAUGAAGAAAGAGUAUCGUUUAUUCUGUGUCUAAGUUCAUACUAAAUUCCUAUUAAUACUCAGAACUGACCAUACAUGUUUCUCGCGUUCAAUAUUUGGUACAAGCCAAAUAAGUUUACUACAAUCUAAAAACGCAUGGAAAAAACGCAUGAGGAAGGAACAAGCCAAAUAGAUUGACUACAAUCUAAAAACGCAUGAAAAAGAAGUAUCGCUUAUUCCAUGUCUAAGUUUAAUUCUCAGUUUCUCAUUAUCAAAAGAAUUUAAGAGGAGUUAUUAUUAUUCUCCAAUUAUAGAAUGUGAAUUCUUUGGGAUAUGCGCUAACACAAAGAAACCCAAAUUAAAAUCUAAUUUACUCAUUAAUAAAAGGUUAGUGGAGAAUAAAUCUCUCGAAGAAAGAAAGGAAAGGAAGUGCAACGGACCAUGUUUGACACGUGAGAGUCAAAAAGGUAAUUAAAGAAAAAGUCAUCAACACACACACUCUCUCUCCGUCUAUAUAAAGCAGCUCUUCUUCACAGUCCCCACAAAGUCCUCUUCCGUUGCCUUUUCGCUUUCUCCGUACACUUGGUCUUCCUUCUCGCGAUCAAACCCUAGGUCCCGCCAUUGUUUGUCCCAGGCUUAAAUCGAAGCUCCAAUUUCACUAAUUUCAGGUGAAUCUUCUUCUACAAUUUCGUUUUCGUUUUGUUUAUUGUCACGAUUGCGUCUAGAAACAAAGUGUUCUACAGUGUUUCGGAGUGUGUAGAAGCGAAAUGUGAAGUAGAUUUUGUUGUCUCUUAGUUCGUUUUGCUUGUAUGUGUGUAGUUGAUGAGGUUUCGUCUACCGAAAUGAUCGGGAUUUUGGAAAUUACUGUCUGUGAUUUGGAGAUUUUUCUGCUUUUACAUGUCAAGGAUUUUUUCUUUGGGGUUUUCUGUGAUUAGUUUGAUUCUGACAGUUUUGUGUUUAUGAAUCACAGGUGUUGCUUUUUUUCCUCUGGAGCUUGGUGAUAGAUACUAUGGAUCCUGUUGCUGAACCUAGCCCUGUUGUUGACCCACUUACUGUAUGUUUCGAUUAUGGGGUUUCUUCUCCUUUUCACUAGUUGUAAUUGUGAUUCUUUGUGUGGUUUGUUCUGUUUUUGGUGUGGUUAAAGUGUAAUUUUGGGUUUGGUAAAUUAUAGGUUGGGAAUGCGUUUGUCAGUCAGUACUACCACGUUUUGUAUAACAUGCCUGAGCAUCUGCCCCGGUUCUAUCACGAGAUCAGUAAAGUUGGGCGUGUUGGACAGGACGGAGUCAUGCAAAAUUUCUCUACCUUGGAGGUAAGUAUUGUCAGUGGUUUAGCUGACUUUGGUUGAAUGAGAGUAUUCCUUUUCUUUGAUGUGAAGGAUUAUUAGUCUAUUUACUUACUUGAGUAAAUAACAUGGGGUUGGGCUGGAGUGUCAAUUGGUUUGAUUGAAAUUGGAUGUCAGUUUUAAGUAACUUGCUAAAAGUGUGUCUCAUUGAUGUUUAUUCUUUGUGCAGGGUAUAACUGAGGAGCUUAAGACACUGACUUAUGGAAAUUCGGCUGAGAUAACCAGUUAUGAUACCCAAGCAUCUCACGAUGGGGGUUUCCUCGUCGCUGUUACUGGAUACUUCACUCUAAAUGAGAGGUCGAGGAGGAAAUUCACCCAAACUUUUUUCCUUGCUCCGCAAGAAAUUGGGUUUUUUGUUCUGAAUGACAUCCUCAGAUUUGCCAAUGAUGAUGCUAAGGAUACUGUUCCAGAGACCAUAGAAGGGGAAGUUGUUUCUGGGAUAAACUCUACAAGACCCAGUGAUAUUAAUGGUAAGUUAAACGUAUACUCAUUCUCCAUCACUUUGUUUUUUAGUUUCUUCUAACGCACAGUAUAUUCCUAUAUCCUUAGUUACAGGCAAUAAGGGCUCGGAGCAAGCUGCAUGUGUUUCGGUGAAUUCUGUUUCUAAGGAAGUGUCUAAACCCUUGAAUGAUGAGAAUGCUAAGGAUAAUGUUCUGGUACCUGAGAUUGUCAAUGAAGUUGCAGAGAUUGAUAUAACUCGCAAAGAAGUUGCAGAUGAUUCACCGAAAAACUAUGACCCUGAUGAUGGACUUGAAGAUGUUCCCAAGAAAUCCUAUGCCUUUGUGGUAAUUAGUCACCGAAGAGGAUUCAUACUCGAUCUUGUUACAUCUCAUUUUAGGCUUUACUAUAUCACUUCUGGGGUUUUCUAUUGAUAAUUAUUUACUUUCAUAACAGUUGAAGGUUACGAAAGAUAAAUCUGGAGUUCCAGCUGGCUCUGUACCUUCUCCAAAGAAGAUACCUAAAGACCAAGAACAUCAAGCGCCUUCAGAUCCUUCUACAGGCCAGAUACUCAAAGACCAAGGUCAACAAGCAUCUUCAGAUCCUUCUCAAGUGAUAGAAUCUGAUACAGUUUCUGAGUCUGUUGAUGCUGCUGAAAAUGGGCACAAUCAGGAAGGUAGUAGUUCACAGUAUAGCUGAUCCUCAGGUUUUCAAUUAUAAUACUUGGUGGUCUAUAUUCUCUUAUCUAUUCAUGACAUGGUUAUAUCCUUCUUUUGUCUUUUUUAUUAGCGGUAGCUGAGGGUACAUCUAUUUAUGUGAAACAUCUUCCUUUUAAUGCCAACAUCGACAUGCUUGGGGCCGAAUUUAAGCAAUUUGGAGCUAUUACCAAUGGUGGGAUUCAAGUCAUAAACCAAAGGGUAAGAUUGACCAAUCAACUAACAUUAAGUAUUGGAAGCUUGAAUCCCUUAUUCGGGGAUAAAGAAACACUGAUCUUACAUAAUUUAUUGUUCUGAAGAAUGAUAGUUUACUGUAUGACUGGCAGGGCCUUGGUUAUCCUUAUGGUUUUGUUGAGUUUGAGGAGGCAGAUGCUGCCCACAGAGCAAUAGAGGUACAUAUUCUAACGUGGAAUAUAAUUUUCACUUUCUUGUUUAGCAUUAUAGAAAACCAGUACCAACUUUAUUAGCCUAUUAGGUGUCUUGGGCUGUUGGGCAUAUGAGUCUUAACGUUUAAAUCGGGUAUAAAUAUGAAAUCAUUAAUGAUGCAGGCUUCACCUCUGAUGAUUGGUGGACAGAGAGCUUUUGUGGAGGAGAAGCUAUCGACAUCAAGAGGUGAGUUGAUCUAAGUAACAAAGCUUUGAUAUGGUAAUGUGAAGAAGAGGAGGGUGAUUGUUUGUUUGCUUGAGUAACAGGGAACAGAGGAAAUGGAAAUGGUGGAUACGGGAAUAGAAAUGUUGGAGUGGGAAUGAGAGGAAGAGGAGGUUAUGGAUAUGGCUACGAUUACAGGAGGGGAGGUAGAGGUCCUGGAGGAGGAGGAAGGUCUUUUAACCGUAGAGGCAAUGAAUAUGUCGCCAGCAUCAACUCGUACUAGAGCGGGGAUUGGGUUCUUUUGUGGCGGAUAAUUGAUUUUUGGAAUGGUGGAAAGAAGAUGGUAGCAAGACAGACAGACUUGGUAGAUAUCUCUCUCUUGGGUAUUCAUAUAUUAGUGAAAGGUAAAAGAAAAAAAAAAUGAUUUGUGGUGAUAUUAAGGCUUAUGAUUUGUAAGAUAAGACGUUUCUUAUUCGAUAUUAUGUGGAGGUUAUUAAAUUUAUGCAAAUGCUUUUGUUUUUUUGCUUUUUGUUUUUUAUUUUGCUGAUUAUGAACCGUGUGCCGUGUGGUAUUAAAGCGUUUUGGAACAUGAUAUAUUUCUACGGACGGAUCCUUCUUUGACCGGGACAAAAACACUUUAUAUAUUCUUUUAUACGCUCUUGUCAUACUUUUUUAAUCGAGACUUCUCUGUUUGGUCAACUACACGUUUCUUUUUAAGCUCAUGAGAAAAAAAAAACUUUAGCACCUCUUAUUCUUUUAAGCUUGGAGGAAGAAAAAUAAGAGAAUUGGUGAAAUGGCAAGAUUCGCUGAACCUAAAUGAUUGAGUGACUCUAGUCAAACACAUAGUAUGAUACCUUUAAGACUCCUUAGGGUUGGUAAAGUUGAGUUUCAGGAUGAACCAUGGAAAGUGAGAGAAAGUGCAUUGACUAGUUGACAUGAGCUGGAAAAACUGAGCUAUUUCGACUAAACUAUAUAGAUAAAUAGCUCAGCUGAGUUUGAAAGACUAUCUGUUAGCUCAACUAGCUAAAUAAGUUUACUGACACUUACUCGAGUUAAGUUGACUGACGUAGUCUUUGGCUCGAUGGUGGUUUAGGCUUCUUGGGAAAGUUACGUAACCACUAAACUGUUACUCAUACCAUUGGAUCAGAUGGAACAGAUAUAUGAUUCGACGAAUGCGGACAUAUAAUUAUGGGAGUGGUUUGUUUAGAUGGCAGAUUUCGAUGAAAACGGUUCCUAUAUGAAAGGUCUCUUAGACGAAUUUUGGCGAUUCAUGUGAACCAAAGAAAACAUGAUCUGAGGAAGACGCCUCUGGAAAUUUAAAUAGAACGUGUCUUGGUUUAAAUAGACGGCUGGAGUUUUGAAGGGUGUCACAGAUAGGGAGGGGUUUGGAGAUCGGUUUGAAUCACCAAGACUCAACCAAAUCCUCAGUGAUCACUCUUAGACCCACACGGGCUGGUCAAAUCUGGUGGCUGUUUACGACAUUUUUAGACUGGUAAUUUUGAGUCAUUACCAAAUCAUAGUCGUUAAGGCCAACAAUCUCAGAGGCACAUAAGAACAACAAGGUGCAAUUCUAUCUUCCUGAUAUUUGACAUUUCAACUUGCCAGUUAGUAUAAGAAGACGAACUAAGCUAAUGUUCAACAGGACACUGCAAUACCAAUCAAACCCCAUGACUAGAAGAUACUCAUAGAUUCAAGACUCAAGAGGUUGGUCAAAUCUCUAGAACAAAUCUUAAUCACACAACAGUUAAUAAAACUGUGGACCAACAUUUCAAAAGGAUCAAAAACUAUAAUCUAUACACCAUUCAAUAUCCCUCACAAAGAAGGAAACUAAACAACCACGAGAUCACCAGCUUGGCCUAUAAAAUCCAGUUCUCACUUCUCAGUAUCACCACCCAAGCAAGAGGAAAAUAUCAAACUAGACUACCAUAUAUAAAUCACAAUGGAGAAGAAUAACACUAAAGCCAAGCUCCUUCUGGCACUAAUUCUGAUGGCACUUCUACUUUCAGGCGCUGAAGGAGGGAGGUAUGUACCUGAGGAGCAAAGUGAGGUCAUUGCCAAUAACCAGAAACUCUGGGGUUGGUUUCAUCUUCCACACUAUGGCUGGCCCUUUCAUAAAGGAAGGUUUGGUCAUUUUCAUCUCAAAGCUGGCCUCAACAAACAGAACCCCGUACACGGAUCUCACACUACAGGUGAUAACAAUGUUGCUGCAUCCACUGUGUUUCCAUGACUAGGUGACGAUGCAUACUAGCACAAGGUGACCUUAAGGUGUGAGUAAUAAGGCAGAGCAAUAGAGCACCGAUUGAUAGCUUCUGUAAUCUAUCUUUUGCACUCUAAUCCCAGUGCAUGGAGAGUUCUAAUAAAUUUCUCUUAAAAUUCCUACUACUUGCUUAUGCUGACAUACACAAAUACUUAACGUAUUUAUCAGUAAUGUGAGAUGAGAACUGGCAUACACGACAUGAUCAAGAUGUAGAAUUUUAGUAUAGAUCCAAUAUAUAUUUUUUUCCAUAUAUCUUUUCAUCUAUCAAGAGAGAAGAGUAUCAACUGAGAGGUUUGCAGAGACCUAAAUUACAUAGAACAACAACUAAAAAACCAAGAGUUAUUACCAAUGAUAUUCAUCAAAUGAUAGGGCCUUCUGGCUUCUUGAUGAGUGAAUAUUUCUCUUCCACCAAAGCAAAAUAUUCAAAAUUAUGAAGUCAAUGAAGUCCCUUCAAUGUUCCAAAGUGAAUAGGAGGAUAGUAUGACAAACCAUUAGACCUGUGAGAGUAAAAACCAUAUUCCCGUUUACUUAAUUAAGAAUAUAAUUCAAAUCUAGUAAUCUCUACAAGCGUAGAUGAUAAACUAAUCAUUGUUUGACCUACAGGGUGGCUGGUGAUGUUGCCGGACCACUCAUCUAGUGGCUGGAAGGAAUACUCGGAUCAGCUCUUUCGCAGUAACCUUUUUCCUACAAGUCGGGCAUUUGCCCUGGCGAGAUAUUGCCAUCUUUAUACAUCCCUUGCAGAAGAUGUGACCGCACUUAGUUGACAUCUCCUCUGUAAAGGGACACAUGCAGAUUGGACAUGUAAACUUUGGCUCUUCUGGUGGAGGAGCUGGAGCCUUUGAUCUAGACAUUCUCUGCACAAGAUAAAAGAAAUUCGUGAGUUCAGACUAAGUAGCAUAACUGCAUAGUAUGCUUUCAGAAAUCCGCAUCUCUCUUACCGAAGACAUGUUGACUUCAUCAUUUACAUAUGCAUGCUCACAGUCGAUGACAGGUUCACUAGAAGGAACCCUUCUGCGUUUGUUGCUUAUGUUGGCAGGCAAUCUAGUCGUACCUCCUGCAAUUACCCGGCCACGUAAGAGAAAAUUUGUAAGCAAUGAACAAAAACAAAUACAAAGUGAAAUCCAACAAUCAAACUCUCUGUCUCUCCCUACUACUUGAGACAUGACACUGAACCAGAAGAGUAAAAUUGAUUUUCAUAUCCCUUCACAAUAGAUAAAAACUGACCUGACUCUACAUCAACCAUCAAAGGUCUCCGACGUGCAUUUCUCGAUUUGCUUUUAGCCUGGUAUCAAAACAAAACAAAAUUAGUGAACCUACUACACAAACAAAUCCCCUCCAUCACUGCAAAAAAAAAACAAAAAGAUAACAGGAAGCAAACAUACUUCAGCAAAAGCACUAGCGGAUGAUUCAAUAACAUCAUCUUCAAUAGCAUCGACAUCAAUCAUUGUAGGAGCAGGCUGAGACGGUGUAGUAGGCACCGUAGGAGAUCUUACAGAAGCAGAGGUCCCUUCUUGAUCUCCAGGUACAGCAUUCAGAUCAAUCACAGCUUUCCUCCGUCGAUUUCCUCGAGGAACUCUCACCUCUUGUGAGUUCAUCUUUCAGCUCAAAGUAACCUAACCUUUGUACCUGUAAGUUUCAUCCAAUAAAACACAAUCUAAUUUACUCCUCAAAGUCUUGUAUGCAAAUUCAAAUCAUUGCAAGCAAAAUAAUAAAAUUUACGUUUUCACAGAAAAAAAAAAAUUCAAACUUUCCACAGAUUUUCAUGUAAUUAAAAUUUCAAAAGAACUCAAUUUCAGCAAAAAGGGAAAAGAAUCAAUCUCCCAGAAAUUCAUCGAAUUUACGAAACAACUAAUCCGAUCCUAAAUUCGAGAAUGAUCGUUCGUAAUCAAACAAACAAGAGAAUUGAAUUAGAUUAGGUUUUUGAAAGUGAAGAACCUCUUCGAUCAAUUCGAUUCGACGUUCGAGGUAAUCACCGUGAGCUGAAUUUCAAUCGGAGAAAUCGCCGGAGAGAAUUUUGAAAGCCAAUCGAUUUUGAGAAAUCUAGGGUUUUUGAAUCUUUUGUUGUAAGAGAGAGAGAAAAACGCGAAGGUGGUAAUAAACGGUGAGAGAUUUUUGAGUUCGUAAUAAAAAGCCACGCGGUCGGUGACACGUGUCGAAAUCGCAGUUCCACAAUACGAAACGGUUUUUGUGUAGUUUCGUCGUGGUUUACAGUGUUGUUUCCUAGAAAAAGCAAACCGUUUGAGAUGUUUAAAAAGCCCAUUGGGUUUACGUUAGCAAUGACGAUAACAAUUUAUACAACUUUGUUCAGCCCAUUUGAUUGGAUUUUAAAUACACGUACAGAUAAAUAAAUAAAUAAAAACUAAUAAAUAUUGUUAACUUAAAAGAUUCUACAACUUUUAAACUUUUUGUAAAUCUAUCCACCACAGUAACAAUUAUGCAAGAGAAUUUUUUCAAGUAUUAUGCAGAGUGUAAUAGAGUUAUGAGACAAUGUUAUUGUGGUGAAAAAUUUAGAACCAAAGUUUUUUUAUAUUAAAUAUAUUGAUCACCACAUUAAAAUAUGUAAAAGAAACUUUCAAAGAACUCUGCAUAUUGCAAUGUAGUCUUUGUGUUCAACCAUGAAAGAUUUUCGGAGGUAGAAAAUUUUGUUACAUGGAUCAAUUUUUUAAUAUAAAUUAUAUAAAAUUUAUUAUUAAUUUUACUCAUAAAUAAUUUACAUUUAAGAGAAAAAUAUCUGAAAAUCAACCUAAUUAAUAUUUACAAUUUUUUGUUAUGGUCCACAAAGAUUAACAAAUGCAAAAAAAUUGUGGGAUUUUCUUAUAAAUAAUUAUAAUAUUAGAUCAUUAGUUGAACAUUUUUUUAAAUAAGUCAAAAUUUUUUAUUUUAUUACAUUAAAAUUUGGUUUAAAAAUUCUAAUGAAACCAACUUAUUUGGCUUCUUUUUUGUUUUAAUGACAAUUUUUUAUCUCAUAUAGUUGAAUUACUUUUAUAUGGGGUCAAAAACUAUAAUGCAUUAGGGUCACUAUAAUAACCUUAAUAAAAUGUAGUAGAAUUUUGAAUUCAUAGGGGUCAACUGACCCCCCUAAUAUCACACUGCCUCCGCCCAUUCUUAUAGAAAUAUAUAAACGGGUAAGCGAGGAGCUGAACAAACUUUUCUUUUCUUAUAGAUUCAAGAAGCAAUGGAGUUAUGAGACAAUGUUACUGUGGUUAAAAUUUUCAUAACGAAAAUAAAACUUUUUUCUCUUUUUCAUAAAACUUUUUAUUUUUUGCCGUUAAGUUAUACGCUAACAAACUUAGCCGUCAAUUAUCUUUCUCAUAAUCAAAUAUCGGGUCUUCAGAUUUAUAGCUAGACCACAUUAUGACUCUAAAUUUUGGUUGCUAGAAUCUAGGUGACAUGAUAUAUCCAUCGUGCUAAUGAUUCUGACAUACAUGUAUGCGCUCGAACUACAGCUUCGAAUGGAGCCGCGUAUCGGAUGGAGCGGAUCAAGCGGAUAUAGCGUAUCAAGCAGAAUAAAAGCGGAUCAAGCAGAUCUGGCGGUACAAGUGUGGAUAAAGCGGCUGAACGCUUUGAAAUAUGUGUUGAAUGGUGAAAACAGAUCAAACGGGGCGGGUAAAGUAUUUCUAUUGCGUAAAAGACGUUAAUUUAAAUAUAACAUUUUACAUAAACGAUACAUACUAAAAAUAAUUAUAUUAAAAUAAAUUUAUAACAUUGUUUAACAUAUUCUUGAUUAUAAUCUAUAAAUGCAAUAAAAUAUUUAUUAUUAUACAUAUGUAAAACAUUAAACAAAAAAUAGUUUAAAAAAAAUAUAUAUCAAGUAUUUGAUUUAUGUUUUUAUGUUUCUGUAAAUUUUGGUUAAGUUUAAAUGAUCCAAAAAAAAAAAGUAUUUGCAUUUAAGAAAUCUGAUCACAAAAGAAACGCAGUUGAAACACUCAUUAUUUGCCGUGUUAUUAAUGUAGUUAGCAGAUCAUGGAUUUUGUUCAUAUUAUUGAACCGCAAGUGGUUCGUUCAAUAUUUAAUUACUUUUACAAUUGAGCUGCUUUCUAAUAAAAUAAAAUGGCGAAUGGGUAAGAUAAAAGCGUUUCUCUCUGACCCACGUUUCGACGUCCAAUUAACCGUUCUCCAUUCAUAGCCUACGCUUAGCGAAGGUGAAAGUAGCGUCUUCUAUGCGAAGACAUUAAAUGCAUAUCAUGAUGACAUUUUCUCACAUCUAAUUCAGCCUAUUUUGCGCCUUCUAUCCAUACAGUGGCGAACCCAGAACAAUAUUUUACAUGGAUCAAAAUUUAUUUAAAUAUAAAAAAAAAUAACGAAAAAAAAUCAUCUUAUGAAUACAUUUUCUAAGUUCAAAUUUUCUCAUAAUGUUUUAUUUGUUUUCUUAUUUUUAGUAGUUAAAAACAUUAAAAAAAAAUCUUAAAUUUAAUAAAAUAUAUCAAAAAAUUUUUAUGAAACCCACGUUUUAACUAAUAACAAAUGAAUAAAAUCUAUUUUUUAUCGAAUUUGCUAGGAAUGAAAGAUAAAAUGUCAAUAUGAUCAAAUUUGGUAUUUAAUGAAAGAUUACAAUAUGAAUAUCUUAUAGAAAAAAUAGGAACUAUAGUUAUUCGCAAAGAAUACAAAAGGAAUACAACAUUUUUUGGGGGGAAAAACCAUCUAAAUAAAGAAAUGGAUGCCGGAAAUUUUUGUAUAAUGGAGUCAAUUAAGGAUAAGUGCUAUAAUUAGUAAACAAUUUGGUAAUUUAAGAUGGGUCAAUUGAACUCUCUAAAUUGCAUGUGGGUCCACCCCUGCGUACUCGUGAUCUCUUUUUCUAACGAUUUAUCACUUACAUAAGUUUAUGAUAUUUUAUGUACUUCAACAUUUUAUUAACCAACGAUUCUGGUAGUUAAAAUAUUUAUGAGAUAGAUGAAUCAUUAUACAAAAAUUAUAUUAAAAAAUUAAAAAACAACUCAGACUUAAGUAUAACUAAUUCCCUUAAAAAAAAUGCUUUUUGGGUUGCUCAUAGCUAUGCAUAGUAUGCCUAUCCAUAGGGAUGUUGUCGUGGGUAAAUGAGCCCAGCCCAACCCAUCCAUUCCAUUGUCCAUUGAAUGGUUUACGGACCGAACAUGAUCAAGGUAGUGGCAUUGGAUAAAUCUUGUUGGUUAAAUACGAAAUGAUCUCAUUAGAUUUAUAGGGUAAAAAAGAUGUUUAUCAUCUCUUGAUACUGAACUAGAAACACUUUUAUGAGCAACUCAAUGUUUAGUUGAAAAAGUUUUGAUUUUAAUAUUAAUGGAAUGAGAUUGUUCAGACUUAUGCCGAAUGAUUGGCUAUCAAGCGGAUUGGCCUGAUUUAGAAUUGGAAUUUUUUUCCUGAUUUUAAGAGAUCUUUCUAGUUUAUCAUUAUGUUUAAUUUUUCAGUGUACUUCUAAUGUAUGGACUGAUUUCCUUGCCAAAGGAACACACGAACUUUCCAUUUUUCUAGAGCGGCCCCAUUUUGAGGUGAGCAUUUUACCAUUGUAAUCUAAUAUAAUCAUCAUAAAUAUUAAUUAUUGACAUUUUUGUUGUUCAAACUCGAUUGUAAAAAUAAUAAAUGUACCAAGUAGAUCACUAAAAUGGGUGUUGAUUUAUCACUUACAGAAGUUUAACAAGUUAAUAUGUAUAGAUUUUAGGGCCCUCAAAUAGUACAAAAAUAAACUACAUAUAGAUCAUGAGGCUCCAAAACCGUAAUUGUUUGUGGCUCUAUAAAUCUCAGGGCCGACCCUGGAUGGAAAAAGUUUUUAUGAAAAUAUGUAAAAGCGGCCCAUUUAUUUAUUUUUGUUGCGGCCUUCUAAAACUCGGGGUUUAAUCGUAAUUAUCUUGACCUAGUGUCAUUAAUAUCCUCCAUAUAUAUAUAUAUACAUAUAACAGUUUGUGUAAGAAAUCAUACAAUUUAGAUUUGUAUCGUAGCUUUCGAAAACCUAAACUCUCAUCUCUUUUUUUCCCCUUCUCUAGCGCCAACUUUUCUUUUGUCUUCUCUGAUGGCCCCCUAUCAGCGAAACAAUCACCACUGCUUUAUUACGGUAUAUCUCUAAGAGGUACGUACCCCUAUCAUGUGAUGAACUGGUAGUGAUUGGAUCUUCCAUUAUCACAGAUUUUUGUUGUGUCAUUUGCAGAUCUAGAAUUGGGAUGCUCUUGUGAUUGCCAAAUCUGAAGAGGGCUUGGGGCCUACGUUUUCUCUCAGAUAGUAGACAUAACAAUUGAACCAAAAUUUAGUGAAGAUCUUAUUUAUGAUUACUUAGAUAUGAUUCGAGAAUUUGAUCUCUUUUCCCUUGGUUUUCUUUUUCAUGAGGAUUGGGAGGGCUUAAAAGAGAUAAACAGUGAUUUCGAGGCUAUGAAAGACACCAAAAAUUAAAGAAAAGGCUUCUCUUUUCUUUCGUUGGGGAGAGAGAAAAUAUUAUGCUGAAAUCAAGGUAGAGAGAUUGUGUUGUUUGAUAUAGUUUUGGAUGAUGUUAUGGGUUGACAACAUUUAACAGAAAGUUUUUUGCUGAGAUCAAAGUAUCUCUAUAUGCUUGAAGAUUUUGGACAACACACUAUUUUGUAGAAAACAUCGGAUGGAAAGAAAUGACGAGACGCGCACCACCAAGGAGUUUCACCUACUUAUUUGAGGACUCUGCAUCUUUGAUGUUUGCUUUAGAUGAAAUAUGGAUUUUUGACUGAAUAGACUUUCACUAGUAAGUAUUUAUGAUUAAGCAAUUAAAAAAUCAAUUAAAAUCUGAUCUUUUGUGUUGGUUGAAAAUGCUUUUGGUGAUGCUUAAGAACUUUAAUUUUUCUUUUUGAUAUCAAAAAGAAAAUACUUUGAAAAUAAAAUAUUUUCCUUCGAUUGAUAUGUUAUUUUAUCUAGAAAUUGCAAUUGAAAGUUAUUGAUAAUAUUGGUAAACAUUAGUAGUUUUUCAAUUGUAUUCUUGUGCGUGUUUGCUGAUAUAAAAGUUUUUCAUGUCUUGUCAUAUUCAGAGUUUGACACAUUGUAGAUCAACAUAUAUUGCAUAGCUAGAUAUAUAUGUUUUCAAUUAAUAGAGACUCUGAUUUGCUUAGGCUAUAAGGAGUUAGUCGUUAUGACUCAUUGAAUAUAUAUAUUUCUAUAUGCAGAAUUAUUAAUUACUAAUAGCAUCUUCAAAUGUAAUAGAGUGUAUGGUUUAGUUAACCAUAUAUUUGAUUCUGUAAUGUAAACCGGUAUACUAUAAACCAGAUUUGCCUCUUACUAUAAAACAAAACUUUGUACGUCACUUUGACUUUAAUGAGAAAUACAGAGCUUCUUCUACUUUUAGACUGUAACAAACUUUUCUCUAUUAUGGUAUCAGAGCGUUGAAUCUUCAAGAUUCAACCGAUUCUUCUUCGUUUUUCCGCUUCAAUCUAUGAUGAUUCUCAUUGUUUGAUCUUCUUCUCGAUAGAUUCGUCUGGUUUAUGUAACGGAAUCAUAAAUAUCGAUCGACUUUUCUUUGUUUUCCGGUUGUUUUCGCCGUAAAACUUCUUUUCUGAUGGCUGUAACUCGUAAAACUAAUCGUCGCACGGUUCGCGUAGCUUCGUCAGCUCGCAGAUCGGUUAAUCGCGGAGAUAAUUCAUCUGAGAGUUCACCGGAAGAUCCUCCUCCGAUUCCUCCUCCAGUUCCUGUUUUCAUAGCUCCGAUUGAGAAUUUGGAUAGCAUUCAUUCACCGUAUCAUCUCUCUAAUAGUGAUAAUCCUGGUAUUUCUAUAAUUUCUGAGUUCUUGAUGGAACAAAUUAUGAUGAUUGGCAAAUAGCGAUGAAAACUUCGUUAGAUGCGAAAAACAAAUUAGCGUUCAUUGAUGGAUCUAUAUCUAGACCUAGUGCAACAGCUACUAUAUUCAGGAUUUGGUCAUGUUGCAAUAUAGUAUGGUGAAAUGUUGGCUAUUGAAUUCAGUAUCGAAACAGAUUUACAAAAGCAUUCUUCGUUUUGAUGAUGCAUCUGAGAUUUGGAAGGAUCUAUCCACUCGAUUUCAUAUCACAAAUCUUCCACGAUCAUACCAAUUGUCUCAGCAGAUUUGGUCAUUACAGCAAGGCUCAAUGGAUCUUGCUACUUACUAUACCACUCUGAAGACUUUGUGGAAUGAGUUAGAUGGUGCUAAUUGGGUUACAGUUUGUCGAAAUUGUGAUUGCUGCAAGACUAUGGAGAAAAAGUCAGAACACACUCGUGUUAUUAAGUUUAUGGCUGGUUUAAAUGAAUCUUAUGCAGUCAUUAGAAGUCAGAUCAUCAUGAAAAAGCAUGUUCCUGAACAUGCUGAGAUAUACAACUUGUUGGAUCAAGAUUUGAGUCAGAGAACCAUUGCUCCUAUUCAAAAUGCAGUGACAUUUAAUGUUUCAGCGGGAGAACCAACUCAGAUCUCUGUUAAUGCUACUUAUAAUCACUCAAGAACACAACAGAAGGUGAUUUAUUCUCAUUGUGGAUAUACUGGUCAUACUGUUGAUAAAUGUUACAAGAUCCAUGGGUACCCCAUUGGUUUCAAGCAUAAAAACAAGUCUACUCAGCAGGAUAAGCGGUCUGUUGCUCCUAUCAAACCUGUUGUUUCUCAACUUGCUUUGACAAGUUCUACUUCGAGUGAUUUGCUUGCGGGAAUGGCAAAAAAUCGGACUAAGGAUCAAAUUCAAGGUGUUCUUGCUUACUUUUCUGCACAACUCAGUGAUGAUAUGGCUUCACCUUCUACUGGUGCUUCUUCUUCUGGUGCCACUAUCAAUGCAUUACCUGGUAUGGCUUUCUCUUCCUCCACUUUACAUUUUGUUGGAGCAUUGAGAGCAACAGGGAAUGUUUUAUGUUCUGAAUCAUGGAUAAUAGAUAGUGGUGCUACACACCAUGUGUCUCAUGAUAAAAAGUUGUUUCGGAUUUUAUCUGAAACAUUGAAUGAUUCAGUCACUUUACCUACUGGUUUUGGAGUGAAAAUCACAGGAAUAGGUACAGUGGAACUAAGUGAUCACAUGAUAUUGCAGAAUGUGUUAUAUAUUCCAGACUUUCGGUUAAAUUUGCUGAGUGUGAGUCAGUUAACUAGAGAUUUGGGAUAUAGAGUAAGUUUUGAUGAUGGUGGUUGCUUGAUACAGGAUCAUAUCAAGGGGUUGAUGAUUGGUAAAGGUGAUCAAAUCUCCAAUCUCUAUGUUCUGGAUACACAUUCUCUCAUGAAGGAUUCAGCUCAACCUCUUGCUUUUUCUGCAACUAUUGUUGAUUCUAGUUUAUGGCAUAAUAGACUAGGUCAUCCAUCUAUGAUUAGAACAGAUAUUGUUACAGAUGUACUUGGUUUUAAACAAAGGAAUAAAGAUAAUUUUCAUUGUGCUAUUUGUCCCUUGGCCAAACAAAAGAAAUUAUCAUUUCCAUCCAAGAAUAACAUUUGUGACUCUGCUUUUGAUCUAUUACACAUUGAUAUAUGGGGUCCGUUUUCUACUCCUACAACAGAAGGAUACAAAUACUUUCUAACCAUUGUUGAUGACCAUACUCGAGUAACAUGGUUGUAUUUGUUGAAAGCAAAGUCUGAAGUAUUGCAGAUUUUUCCGGACUUCUUAAAAAUGGUGGAAACACAGUACAAGACUACAGUAAAAGCAGUUCGUUCUGACAAUGCACCUGAGCUCAAGUUUGUUGAUUUGUAUAAGAACAAGGGCAUCAUGGCUUACCAUUCAUGUCCAGAAACUCCGGAGCAAAACUCUGUUGUUGAACGAAAACAUCAACAUAUUUUGAAUGUUGCUAGGUCCUUAAUGUUUCAGUCAAGAGUUCCUGAAGAGUAUUGGGGAGAUUGUGUUCUCACCGCAGUCUUUCUUAUCAACAGGCUCUCUACACCAUUACUGCAGAAUAAAUCACCUCAUGAAGUUCUCACCUUCAAGAAACCAGACUAUGCACCCUUAAGAGUCUUUGGUUGUUUAUGCUACAGUUUAACUUCCUCUAAGAACAGGAAUAAGUUUCAACCCAGGGAAGGCUUGUAUCUUUCCUGGAUAUCCAAGUGGUUACAAGGGAUACAAAUUAUUGGAUCUGGAAACAAAUCAGGUACACAUCUCAAGGAACGUUGUGUUUCAUGAAUCUAUCUUUCCCUUCAGUUCAGGUGAUUCUACUGGUCCUUUUUCUGAAAUUUUUGGCAGCAUCAAUAAUUCUGUUGAUGAGAAUUCUCCUGAAAACGUUUACAGUAACAUUCCUGCAGUUGUGAGUGAAACUUCUUCUUUAAGUGAAUCUCCUGCAGUUGUGAAUGACUCUGUAAAUGUUGAUUCUCCUAUAGUUUCAGCUCCACCACCUGUUUCAGCUAAAAGGCCAGUUAAGCAACCUGCUCACUUGAAGGAUUAUUACUGUAAUCUGACAGGAAAAGGAGUUCAAUAUCCUUUGUCUAAUUACAUGUCUUAUGAUCAGCUGUCAACCCCAUAUCGAGCCUAUAUAUGUUCAGUCACAAAAUAUUCAGAACCGAGCUCUUUCUCUCAAGCUAAGAAGUCAAAUGAUUGGCUUCAAGCUAUGAAUGCAGAGUUAACGGCUUUAGAAGGCACUGCUACAUGGGAGAUUUGUUCAUUGCCUUCAGAUAAGCAGGCUAUAGGCUGUAAAUGGGUAUAUAAGGUGAAACUCAAUGCUGAUGGAAGCUUAGAGCGAUAUAAAGCUCGUCUCGUAGCUAAAGGCUACACGCAACAAGAAGGAGUAGAUUUUGCAGACACAUUUUCACCAGUGGCUAAGAUGACAACAGUCAAGACCUUACUUGCUGUUGCAGCUGCUAAGAAAUGGAGUCUUCAUCAGUUAGAUAUCUCCAAUGUGUUCUUAAAUGGUGAUCUCAAUGAAGAGAUUUAUAUGACCUUGCCACCAGGUUACACACCAAAGGACGGAGAAGUUAUUCCUCCCAAUGCAGUUUGCAAAUUAAAGAAGUCCCUUUAUGGCUUAAAACAAGCCUCUAGACAGUGGUUCUUGAAGUUUAGAUCCACGUUAAUGUCUCUGGGGUUCCAACAAUCUCAUGCUGAUCAUACCCUAUUCGUUAAGAAUGUUAAUGGGAAGUAUCUUGCUGUUCUUGUCUAUGUAGAUGACAUAGUAAUAGAUAGUAACAAUGAUGAGGAUGUGAUUCAAUUGAAAGGAGAUUUGAAGAAAGCUUUUAAGCUUCGAUAUUUGGGGUCUUUGCAAUAUUCUUAGGAUUGGAAAUCGCAAGAUCAGCCUCAGGUAUAUCUGUUUCACAGAGGAAGUAUGCCUUAGAUGUGCUAGAAGAAGCUGGAAUGUUGGCUUGUAAGCCUUCUAACAUUCCUAUGGAACCAAGUAUUAAACUGGUGGGUGAUGGUCCAGAACCAGUCAUUGAUGAUCCUGCCUCCUAUAGACGACUUGUUGGGAAACUGAUGUAUCUUACAAUAACUCGUCCUGAUAUCACUUUUGUUGUGAAUAAAUUGUGUCAAUAUACAUCAGCUCCUAAGGCGACACACAUGAAGGCAGCUCACAAAGUGUUGGCUUACAUUAAAGGCACCAUUGGGAAUGGUUUGUUCUAUUCUUCCACUUCUGAUUUUGUGCUAAAAGGAUUUACAGAUGCUGAUUGGGCUUCCUGCAAGGAUACAAGACGAUCAACAUCUGGCUACUGUGUGUUUUUGGGAGAUUCACUCAUCUCCUGGAAGUCUAAAAAGCAGCAAAUGGCUUCUCAUUCUUCUGCAGAAUCGGAGUACAGGGCCAUGCAGUAUGCUGUCAGAGAAAUAGUAUGGUUGGUGAAUCUUUUGAAUGACCUCAAGGUACCUCAACUUGCACAUGUGGCUUUCUUUUGUGAAUCUACUACAGCUAUACACAUAGCCAACAACUCUGUUUUUCACGAGAGAACAAAACACGUGGAGCUGGACUGUCACAUUGUCAGAGACAGAAUUUUGAGUGGCUUGAUCAAAACUCUACAUGUCAAGAUAGAUUUACAGCUUGCAGAUGCGUUUACUAAGCCACUGUAUCCAGCACAGUUCAAAGCUCUCAUUGGCAAGAUGUCAUUGAAGUCUAUCUAUAUGCCAUCUUGAGGGGGCAUAAUAGAGUGUAUGGUUUAGUUAACCAUAUUUUUGAUUCUGUAAUGUAAACCGGUAUACUAUAAACCGGAUUUGCCUCUUACUAUAAAACAAAACUUUGUACGUCACUUUGACUUUAAAGUCAAAGUGACGUACAAAGUUUUGUUUUGGAUAUUUCAAAAUUAAAAUAUUAAUACUUUAAUAUUUUAAUUUAAAACAUUUAAGAAACCAAUAAAAAAGUAUAAAUGUCAAGAAAACUGAUUCUCAUAUGGUUAAUGUUUUUGAAAAUGUUACAAAAAUUAGUCAACUUAUAUAAAGACAUUAUUUGUCUUUUGACAAAUAGGGAAAAAACCCGAAAAAACCGCCAUCUAUUUUUUUUUUGGCCGUUUAAUACCUGUGUUUUUAAAUUUGGAAUAAAAAUACCUCAUUUAGUUUCGAUUGCCUUUUAAAACUAUCGUUUUUUAAAACUUGGUAAUUUCGAACCCGACACUUAACAGUCGUUACUGGGCGUAACGGAAUUAUUUAACGGCGUUAAAUUUUAACCGGCAAAAAACCCGAAAAAACCGCCAUCUAUUUGUUUUGGCCGUUUAAUACCUGUGUUUUUAAAUUUGGAAUAAAAAUACCUCAUUUAAUUUCGAUUGUCUUUUAAAACUAUCGUUUUUAAAAACUUGGUAAUUUCGAACCCGAAACUUAACAGUCGUCACUGGACGUAACACAAUUAUUUAACCGCGUUAAAUUUUAACCCCACGAGUUUAUAUAAAUAUAUACUAUCUGUUUGCAUAUAAAUAUAUACUAUCUGUUUGCAUGUUAGUUUUGUAAACCUUAGAAGCUGGGUUUGACUCUUCAAGACUUCAACCUCAUUUUUUUUUUUAUUAAUUUCUUUUUGUGUUCUUCGUCUUCUUCGCCGGUGGUGACGACGACUUCUUCUUCUCAGAUCUCCGAUGAUGCAAACUAGUCUCUCUCUCUUUCUCUUCUUCACUCGAAUCUCUUUUUAGAUAAUGGAUUUUUGCCGAGAUCCAUCCCAUUUAUGUAUAGAUCUGAUCUGAUUGAUGUCGAUUUAGUUGCUGUUCUUUUUCAAUGGUAGAUCUAAUUGCAGAAUCGAUUUGUUGAAAUCGCUCUAUGAUUCAUCUUUUGUUUGCAUUUCGAGUCUUAACUUUGUACUGAUGGGAAGUUAUUCGAAGUGGAGAACAAAGAGAAAAAAAACAUGUUUAAGAUUCAAACCCGGAUCUGGUGGUUUAAAAAAAGACACACGCUACCACUAAACCACAUUGACAUUCUCGUAAUGUGUUGUGAGCAGUUUGUAUAUAUUUAUAUAAACAUGUGGGGUUAAAAUUUAACGCUGUAAAAUAAUUCUGUUACGCCCAAUAACGACUGUUAAGUCUCGGAUUUGAAAUUACCAAGUUUUAAAAAACAAUAGUUUUAAAAGGCAAUCGAAAUUAAAUGAGGUAUUUUUAUUCCAAAUUUUAAAACACAGGUAUUAAACGGCAAAAAAAAAAAUAGAUGGCGGUUUUUCUUGGUUUUUUCCCGGUUAAAAUUUAACGCCGUUAAAUAAUUCCGUUACGCCCAGUAACGACUGUUAAGUCUCGGGUUCGAAAUUACCAAGUUUUAAAAAAUGAUAGUUUUAAAAGGCAAUCGAAAUUAAAUGAGGUAUUUUUAUUCCAAAUUUAAAAACACAGGUAUUAAACGGCCAAAAAAAAAAUAGAUAGCGGUUUUUUUAGGUUUUUUCCCUUGACAAAUAUAAUAACUUACAUAUUAUUGAAAAUUUAAUUUUUGGAAAAAACAAACGGGUUCAACUAGAUUUUCAGGAUUGUUUGAGUGAGUUUCAUCUUCUUUUGUUUAGGAUUCUGCCAUUUCUUAUAUUCUCUUGAGAUUCCACAUAAAAGAAAUAACCAGCGACUUGAACUUCUUAUGAUUUUGAGCGUGUAUGCUCAAUAGCCUAUAAAUACGAUAGUCGAUUAGUUCAAGCGACUUGAGGUGGAUGUAUUUGCUGAAAAUUGCAUCUAUCAUCUCUUUCAAUCACUUUGGUCCGCAUAAGCUAGUGUCCUCAAGAACAUUAGGUCUUUGGAAGCAUUAUUUGGUAGUUCAAAUUUACACCAUCGAUGGCCACGGUUUAGCCAUGGACAUUCGUGGCUAAUUUCAUUCCAGCCACGAAUUAGUCACUUAACAAUAACGUGACAAUUUUCGUGGCAUUUUAGUGGUUUUUCGUGGCUAAUAUUUGCCACGGAUUUUAUCUGUAACAAAUUCGUGGCUAAAUAUAGCUACGAAAUUAUUCCAUAGCUAAAUCGUGGCUAUUUGCUACGAAAAAGCCACAAAAGUUUCGUGAUUAUUUUAUUUUCGAAUUUAUUUUAUUAUAUAGCCACGAAUUUGUCACUAAUUUAUCCGUGGCUAGACGAAAACCUUAAUCUUAAAGACAAACUCUAAAUUUAUAAACUCUAAACAAAAAUCUAAUUACCAAUGUAUACCCUAAUUAAAAUUAAGAUCCAACACUUUUAUAAAAUUCUUAUUUUUAAAUCAAACAUUUCAAAUCUAUACCCCAAACCCUCAAUUUAACUCCAAAUCCUAAAAUCUAAACUUUAAUUAAAAUUUUCAUUAUAGAAAUUAAACCAUAAACUCUAAAAAACAAAAUCUAAUUAAUAUACCCAACAACUAAGACAUUUUGUCUACCAUUUAUAUUUAAUAUACCAAAUACUACUGCAAAUUGCAAAAUUAAUAAACCAAAUAAUAAUGACUUCUUUUGGUUAGUUCAUAAACUAUAUCCAACGGACACAAAGUUUCUCAAUUGUUUUUCUUCUCCUUUUCUCAUCUUCGUCACCUUCCACCUUCCACCUCUCAUUUCAGCUUUCACAGGGGGAGACUUGGAGAGUGAGAAAGAAAGAGAUUGCAGGUGAGUGUGUGAAUCAAUGAGUAGAGCUGGUGAAGUGGGCCUCUCUCUGAUUCUUUUCCUCUCCUUUUCUCAUCUUCGUCACCUUCCACCUUCCACCUCUUCUCCUCAUCCAAGAGAGCACACCUCCUCCGCCAACCCCCAAAACUAUAACAUAGAAGGCUAAGCCACAACUACGACGUCGUUCACCACCACCACCACCACCAUUGACAAAGUUCAACGGAUCGGCGCCGUGACAUCAGCCAUGGAUUUCAACGCAACGACGCGUCGACGCCGUCACAUCAGCCAUGGAGUCUGAUCCAAGUUCCGAUUGCUGUAAUGUUUUUAACGGGCAACAAUGAGAGCUCCUAGAUCCGACGCCACGAGACCACCGAAGAUGCUUGACGGAAGAAGACAUCUCGUGAAACAUUUUUUAAUUUUUUUUUGUUAAAAUCAUUGUGUUUUAUAAAUUAAUUAAUUUUACAUUUUAAUUUAUAAAUAAUAAUCUUUUUUGUUUCCGU
Molecule: long non-coding RNA, 34339 nt
Filed under: Arabidopsis lyrata
Lineage: Eukaryota; Viridiplantae; Streptophyta; Magnoliopsida; Brassicales; Brassicaceae
Description: long non-coding RNA (ALYR_LNC000551)
Source: RNAcentral